Molecule: small RNA, 109 nt
Filed under: Psychroflexus maritimus
Lineage: Bacteria; Pseudomonadati; Bacteroidota; Flavobacteriia; Flavobacteriales; Flavobacteriaceae
Description: 6S-Flavo RNA
Rfam family: 6S-Flavo RNA
Source: Rfam by way of RNAcentral
ACUCAACACUUUACAAUUAAAAAGGGUGAGUUACAAUUGCAAAAGCAAGCCUCCUUUGUAGUGGAUUCUUGACCAGUUGUGUAGCCCUAAACCUGUUUUUACGGAGUUU